RNAcentral lists this ribosomal RNA (74 nucleotides) under Periplaneta americana (American cockroach). Its description in RNAcentral is "partial 5.8S ribosomal RNA". Lineage: Eukaryota; Metazoa; Arthropoda; Insecta; Blattodea; Blattidae. The record is from RNAcentral.
GCUGAAUUUAAGCAUAUUUGAACAUCGACAUUUUGAACGCACAUUGCGGUCCUUGGAUUUCCAAUCCCGGACCA